Artibeus jamaicensis (Jamaican fruit-eating bat) is the source of this 146-nucleotide small nucleolar RNA. RefSeq annotates it as small nucleolar RNA SNORA79. The record is from RefSeq and is a predicted model, not a curated record. The transcript has a single exon. NCBI's taxonomy places the organism in Eukaryota, Metazoa, Chordata, Mammalia, Chiroptera, Phyllostomidae.
CCAUGGCAGUUCCUCUCACUGCUUGGAGCCUUAGUCGGGGAAUGUGGUCCAUCACACAUUUAAGCUAACUCGUCUUCAGUCAGAGCGCCAUGGGGGUGGGGUGGCUGCUCAUUCGUGCCUUCUGAUUUUUGCAGAGUCAAAUAAUU